UGGGGAAUAUUGCACAAUGGGCGAAAGCCUGAUGCAGCCAUGCCGCGUGUAUGAAGAAGGCCUUCGGGUUGUAAAGUACUUUCAGUUGUGAGGAAGGGUGUGUAGUUAAUAGCUGCGCAUCUUGACGUUAGCAACAGAAGAAGCACCGGCUAACUCCGUGCCAGCAGCCGCGGUAAUACGGAGGGUGCGAGCGUUAAUCGGAAUUACUGGGCGUAAA
This 217-nucleotide ribosomal RNA is filed under the name Vibrio sp. OPT20. Its description in RNAcentral is "partial 16S ribosomal RNA". It matches the Rfam family "Bacterial small subunit ribosomal RNA", at positions 355 to 564 of the family's 1533-position model. The record is from RNAcentral. RNAcentral also lists the same sequence under 1 other name. Lineage: Bacteria; Pseudomonadati; Pseudomonadota; Gammaproteobacteria; Vibrionales; Vibrionaceae.